This 134-nucleotide unclassified non-coding RNA is filed under the name uncultured Mycoarthris. RNAcentral describes it as "sequence contains ITS1". The record is from RNAcentral. Lineage: Eukaryota; Fungi; Ascomycota; Leotiomycetes; Helotiales.
CAGAGUUCAUGCCCUCACGGGUAGAUCUCCCACCCUUGAAUAACAUACAAUGUUGCUUUGGCGGCCGCCGAAGCGCUCGCCAAAGGACCCUAAACUCUUGUUUACAGUGUCGUCUGAGUACUAUACAAUAGUUA